ACGGGAGGCAGCAGUGGGGAAUAUUGGGCAAUGGACGAAAGUCUGACCCAGCGACGCCGCGUGAGGGAAGAAGGUCUUCGGAUUGUAAACCUUAGUCAACAGGGACGAAGCAAGUGACGGUACCUGUGGAGGAAGCCACGGCUAACUACGUGCCAGCAGCCGCGGUAAUACGUAGGUGGCGAGCGUUAUCCGGAAUUACUGGGUGUAAAGGGUGUGUAGGCGGGAAAGCAAGUCGGAUGUGAAAAUUAUGGGCUUAACCCAUAACCUGCGUCCGAAACUGUUUUUCUUGAGGAUCGGAGAGGUAAAUAGAAUUCCCGGUGUAGCGGUGAAAUGCGCAGAGAUCGGGAGGAAUACCGGUGGCGAAGGCGAUUUACUGGACGAUAACUGACGCUGAGACACGAAAGCGUGGGGAGCAAACAGGAUUAGAUACCCUGGUA
RNAcentral lists this ribosomal RNA (437 nucleotides) under uncultured Oscillospiraceae bacterium. RNAcentral's name for it is "bacterial SSU rRNA". It matches the Rfam family "Bacterial small subunit ribosomal RNA", at positions 341 to 792 of the family's 1533-position model. RNAcentral also lists the same sequence under 1 other name. The record is from RNAcentral. Lineage: Bacteria; Bacillati; Bacillota; Clostridia; Eubacteriales; Oscillospiraceae.